Molecule: unclassified non-coding RNA, 432 nt
Filed under: Ascomycota sp.
Lineage: Eukaryota; Fungi; Ascomycota
Description: partial contains small subunit ribosomal RNA, internal transcribed spacer 1, and 5.8S ribosomal RNA
Rfam family: Eukaryotic small subunit ribosomal RNA (bases 1-47)
Source: RNAcentral
AAAGUCGUAACAAGGUCUUCGUAGGUGAACCUGCGAAGGGAUCAUUAACACGUUCCAAACCUAUUAUCAACCCAUCUGUGAACUUUUGUUACCGCCGAAUGGCUGGCGACAAGUGCAUGGCGCAUACGAUCGACUCAAUGAUGAGGCGUAUGGACAUCUAUCCUUACGCCUGGUCUAGUAGUAUGCCUCGUGCCCCUCUUUGUGGGCAGCUGUCCUUGUCGUCUAGUCCGGCCACUAUAUAUGUGCUUCGAGCGGUCGUCAUCUGCCGUUCGGCUCGCAUAUCACACACGCCCUGCGACUCGCCCGUAACAACAGCGAAUCGCACUACAUCAAUUUAUCCAACACAUGAUUGCUACGUCGACGCUCAGUCGAUGUACGCGAGAAUAUAAACUAAACAGUGAACAACUCUUAGCAAUGGAUAUCUUGGUUCUC